AGUGAACGCUGGCGGUAGGCCUAACACAUGCAAGUCGAACGGCAGCACAGUAAGAGCUUGCUCUUACGGGUGGCGAGUGGCGGACGGGUGAGGAAUACAUCGGAAUCUACUUUUUCGUGGGGGAUAACGUAGGGAAACUUACGCUAAUACCGCAUACGACCUACGGGUGAAAGCAGGGGAUCUUCGGACCUUGCGCGAUUGAAUGAGCCGAUGUCGGAUUAGCUAGUUGGCGGGGUAAAGGCCCACCAAGGCGACGAUCCGUAGCUGGUCUGAGACGAUGAUCAGCCACACUGGAACUGGGACACGGUCCAGACUCCUACGGGAGGCAGCAGUGUGGAAUAUUGGACAAUGGGCGCAAGCCUGAUCCAGCCAUACCGCGUGGGUGAAGAAGGCCUUCGGGUUGUAAAGCCCUUUUGUUGGGAAAGAAAAGCAGCAGGUUAAUACCCCGCUGUUCUGACGGUACCCAAAGAAUAAGCACCGGCUAACUUCGUG
RNAcentral lists this ribosomal RNA (492 nucleotides) under uncultured bacterium. RNAcentral describes it as "partial 16S ribosomal RNA". It matches the Rfam family "Bacterial small subunit ribosomal RNA", at positions 29 to 507 of the family's 1533-position model. The record is from RNAcentral.